AGAAUUAGUUUAAUUAAAAUACUAGUUUUGGAUACUAACAAUUUCUGUUAUA
Molecule: transfer RNA, 52 nt
Filed under: Porcellio dilatatus dilatatus
Lineage: Eukaryota; Metazoa; Arthropoda; Malacostraca; Isopoda; Porcellionidae
Description: tRNA-Pro
Source: RNAcentral